This 764-nucleotide ribosomal RNA is filed under the name uncultured archaeon. RNAcentral describes it as "bacterial SSU rRNA". It matches the Rfam family "Archaeal small subunit ribosomal RNA", at positions 90 to 857 of the family's 1478-position model. The record is from RNAcentral.
UCAGUAUACGUGGAUAAUCUGCCCUUAGGUGGAAAAUAACCUCGGGAAACUGAGGAUAACGUUCCAUAGAUCUAGGAUGCUGGAAUGCACUUAAAUCAAAAGCUUCGGCGCCUAAGGAUGAGUCCGCGGACUAUCAGGUAGUAGUCAGGGUAAUGACCUGACUAGCCUUCGACGGAUAUGGGUUGUGAGAGCAAUAACCCAGAGAUGAUAUCUGAGACACGAUAUCAGGCCCUACGGGGCGCAGCAGGCGCGAAAACUUUGCACUGUGCGAAAGCACGACAAGGGGAUCCCAAGUGCUGGCUCUUAGGAGUCAGCUGUUUUUCUGUCUAAAAAACAGAGAGAGUAAGGGCUGGGUAAGACGGGUGCCAGCCGCCGCGGUAAUACCUGCAGCCCAAGUGGUGGCCACUAUUAUUGGGCCUAAAACGUCCGUAGCCUGUUCUGUAAAUGCCUGGGUAAAUCGUACGGCUUAACCGUACGAAUUCCGGGUAGACUGCAGGACUUGAGACUGGGAGAAGCUAGAGGUACUCCGGGGGUAGAGGUGAAAUUCUGUAAUCCUCGGGGGACCACCGGUGGCGAAGGCGUCUAGCUAGAACAGGUCUGACGGUGAGGGACGAAGCCCUGGGGCGCAAACGGGAUUAGAUACCCCGGUAAUCCAGGGUGUAAACGCUGCUCGCUUGAUGUUAGCCGGGCGUCGAGCCCAGCUAGUGUCGGAGAGAAGUUGUUAAGCGAGCUGCCUGUUAAGUACGGUCGCAAGACUGAAACUU